UUAACACAUGCAAGUCGAACGGAAAGGCCCUGCUUGCAGGGUACUCGAGUGGCGAACGGGUGAGUAACACGUGGGUGAUCUGCCCUGCACUUCGGGAUAAGCUUGGGAAACUGGGUCUAAUACCGGAUAGGAACCAUCUUUAGUGUGGUGGUUGGAAAGUUUUUUCGGUGUAGGAUGAGCUCGCGGCCUAUCAGCUUGUUGGUGGGGUAAUGGCCUACCAAGGCGGCGACGGGUAGCCGGCCUGAGAGGGUGUACGGCCACAUUGGGACUGAGAUACGGCCCAGACUCCUACGGGAGGCAGCAGUGGGGAAUAUUGCACAAUGGGCGCAAGCCUGAUGCAGCGACGCCGCGUGGGGGAUGAAGGCCUUCGGGUUGUAAACUCCUUUCGCUAGGGACGAAGCUUUUUGUGACGGUACCUAGAUAAGAAGCACCGGCUAACUACGUGCCAGCAGCCGCGGUAAUACGUAGGGUGCGAGCGUUGUCCGGAAUUACUGGGCGUAAAGGGCUCGUAGGUGGUUUGUCGCGUCGUCUGUGAAAUUCUGGGGCUUAACUCCGGGCGUGCAGGCGAUACGGGCAUAACUUGAGUGCUGUAGGGGUAACUGGAAUUCCUGGUGUAGCGGUGAAAUGCGCAGAUAUCAGGAGGAACACCGAUGGCGAAGGCAGGUUACUGGGCAGUUACUGACGCUGAGGAGCGAAAGU
This 699-nucleotide ribosomal RNA is filed under the name uncultured Actinomycetales bacterium. Its description in RNAcentral is "bacterial SSU rRNA". It matches the Rfam family "Bacterial small subunit ribosomal RNA", at positions 48 to 760 of the family's 1533-position model. Lineage: Bacteria; Bacillati; Actinomycetota; Actinomycetes; Actinomycetales. The record is from RNAcentral.